Molecule: ribosomal RNA, 465 nt
Filed under: Vreelandella stevensii
Lineage: Bacteria; Pseudomonadati; Pseudomonadota; Gammaproteobacteria; Oceanospirillales; Halomonadaceae
Description: partial 16S ribosomal RNA
Rfam family: Bacterial small subunit ribosomal RNA
Source: RNAcentral
CCUACGGGGGGCAGCAGUGGGGAAUAUUGGACAAUGGGCGAAAGCCUGAUCCAGCCAUGCCGCGUGUGUGAAGAAGGCCUUCGGGUUGUAAAGCACUUUCAGUGGGGAAGAAAGCCUUGGGGCUAAUACCCUCGAGGAAGGACAUCACCCACAGAAGAAGCACCGGCUAACUCCGUGCCAGCAGCCGCGGUAAUACGGAGGGUGCGAGCGUUAAUCGGAAUUACUGGGCGUAAAGCGCGCGUAGGCGGUCUGAUAAGCCGGUUGUGAAAGCCCCGGGCUCAACCUGGGAACGGCAUCCGGAACUGUCAGGCUAGAGUGCAGGAGAGGAAGGUAGAAUUCCCGGUGUAGCGAUGAAAUGCGUAGAGAUCGGGAGGAAUACCAGUGGCGAAGGCGGCCUUCUGGACUGACACUGACGCUGAGGUGCGAAAGCGUGGGUAGCAAACAGGAUUAGAUACCCGUGUAGUC